GGGUGCGAUCAUACCAGCACUACUGCACCGGAUCCCAUCAGAACUCCGAAGUUAAACGUGCUUGGGCGAGAGUAGUACUAAGAUGGGUGACCUCUUGGGAAGUCCUUGUGUUCACCCC
This 118-nucleotide ribosomal RNA is filed under the name Ricinus communis (castor bean). Lineage: Eukaryota; Viridiplantae; Streptophyta; Magnoliopsida; Malpighiales; Euphorbiaceae. The record is from RNAcentral.